RNAcentral lists this ribosomal RNA (468 nucleotides) under uncultured bacterium. RNAcentral describes it as "partial 16S ribosomal RNA". It matches the Rfam family "Bacterial small subunit ribosomal RNA", at positions 28 to 507 of the family's 1533-position model. The record is from RNAcentral.
GACGAACGCUGGCGGUGUGCUUAACACAUGCAAGUCGAACGGUAAGGCCCUUUCGGGGGUACACGAGUGGCGGACGGGUGAGUAACACGUGAGUAACCUGCCCUCAUCUCUGGGAUAACAGCCGGAAACGGUUGCUAAUACUGGAUAUGAGCUUGCAAGGCAUCUUGUGGGUUGGAAAGAUUUUUUUUGGUUGGGGAUGGACUCGCGGCCUAUCAGCUUGUUGGUGAGGUAGUGGCUCACCAAGGCUUCGACGGGUAGCCGGCCUGAGAGGGCGACCGGCCACAUUGGGACUGAGAUACGGCCCAAACUCCUACGGGAGGCAGCAGUGGGGAAUAUUGCACAAUGGACGGAAGUCUGAUGCAGCAACGCCGCGUGCGGGAUGACGGCCUUCGGGUUGUAAACCGCUUUCAAUUGUGACGAAGCUUUUUUGUGACGGUAGCAGUAGAAGAAGCACCGGCUAACUACGUG